GACGAACGCUGGCGGCGUGCUUAACACAUGCAAGUCGAACGGAAAGGCCCUGCUUUUGUGGGGUGCUCGAGUGGCGAACGGGUGAGUAACACGUGAGUAACCUGCCCUUGACUUUGGGAUAACUUCAGGAAACUGGGGCUAAUACCGGAUAGGAGCUCCUGCUGCAUGGUGGGGGUUGGAAAGUUUCGGCGGUUGGGGAUGGACUCGCGGCUUAUCAGCUUGUUGGUGGGGUAGUGGCUUACCAAGGCUUUGACGGGUAGCCGGCCUGAGAGGGUGACCGGCCACAUUGGGACUGAGAUACGGCCCAGACUCCUACGGGAGGCAGCAGUGGGGAAUAUUGCACAAGGGGCGGAAGCCUAAUGCAGCAACGCCGCGUGCGGGAUGACGGCCUUCGGGUUGUAGACCGCUUUCGCCUGUGACGAAGCGUGAGUGACGGUAAUGGGUAAAGAAGCACCGGCUAACUACGUG
RNAcentral lists this ribosomal RNA (468 nucleotides) under uncultured bacterium. RNAcentral describes it as "partial 16S ribosomal RNA". It matches the Rfam family "Bacterial small subunit ribosomal RNA", at positions 28 to 507 of the family's 1533-position model. The record is from RNAcentral.